This 1723-nucleotide long non-coding RNA is filed under the name Diabrotica virgifera virgifera (western corn rootworm). Its description in RNAcentral is "uncharacterized LOC126885620". Lineage: Eukaryota; Metazoa; Arthropoda; Insecta; Coleoptera; Chrysomelidae. The record is from RNAcentral.
GACUUUGAAACGUAUUGACAACUAGCACCUAUAUGAUGCACCCAAGGUCAAAUAUGAGAGACUAUGAUCUUAAGGAUUUAGUGAGCUUGAAAAACCGUUUUUUCCCAUAGGAAAUGGACUUGAUCAUAUUAUUUAUAAGACCUAUAACUUAAUUUUAUGUACGAGUACAAUUUCAUGUACGAGUCUGGGUUGUCAUAAUAUAUAAUUAAUACAACAGUAUUUUGAACACUACUCGUUUAUUUAGGUGUAUUUACGUGAAUAUAACAAUUACAGGUUAACAACAACAAUAGCGAGCAUAUACUUAGUAUCCAAUCUGAAAGUAGUUCGCGCAUGUGUGUGCAGCGUUGCCAGGCCCAAAAAAUUUAUUUCCCUAAAUUGUGUUUUAAAAGUUGCCAGAUUUUCAACAGAAUUCCCCAGAUUUAUAAGGUUUUUUCCAACUCGAUACAAAACCGUUCUUAAAUCGUUACGCGCAUGCACAAUAACGAAAAUUUAUGCGCAGUUACACAUUUUUCGUUACUGCGCAUACUCGUAACUGUUAAAGAACGGUUUUGUUUGGGGAACCCCAGGGAAUAUCAUUGUUCGCGGUAGUCACAAUUCACCAAACUUUUGGCCUAUAUGUGGAAUCAGUCACCACGAUCUUGUCGUUGUAAAACAUUUAAUAUUCACAUAAUUACUGGACUUUCUAAAAUAACUAUCUUUUACUAAAUUUAAUAACAUAUUUUAGCCAGUUUGAUUUCCCCAGAUAUUAGUGAUUUUAAAAAAGUUUUUCCCCAGUCCCCAAAGUUUAUCAAUUUUCCCCAGUUCUGGGGAAAAUUCUCCAGACCUGGCAUCCCUGUGUGUGUGUGUCUAAUCUCCGGCGCGCGCAUUUCGCGGUUCGUCUCGUGAUUGAAUAGUCCGAGAGCUCGAUACAUCACACUUAAAAAUUCGAAUUUUUCCAGAUACGAGGUAUAUACUUCUACAAACGCUCAGUUAUUGUCCCAAUAGGUGGAAAUUUUGAGUAAUUGUCGAAAACCCAAAGUUUUCAAUGUUCAAUUUUUCACUUUUUCGACUAUAUAUCUCAAUCGAGAACGUUGCAAAAAACUCCUUAUAUUUUUAUAUUCACCCCUGCCCCACCCCUUUGUCGGCCACGCAGCGUUCCACCCUUGGAGAUUUUACUUAGUUACGACUUAUUCCCAAAUUUUGGUGCACUAUCUCGAUCAUGAGCGUCACAAAAAAAAUAAUAAAAACCGCGACUUUGACCGCUUAUAACUCCCCCACUCUGGUUUCCGGCCGUUGGGGAAAGUCAUGUACACAACUAAUUCAACAUAUUCCCAUAUAGUUUUUCCAUGUUACUUAUCACGCAGAAAAUCCGCUCUCAGCUCUUAGACUAUAUAGCUGGCUUCUAAAAAAUAUUUCGGACCAAAAAAGUGAUCUCUUGAAUUUGUUUAAACAAUUUCUGCCCAAAAAUCUCGCCCUUCUGAUCUGUUUAAAGGGGACAUUUUUGAACAGGAAUCCGCAAAGAAUCAGAAAUUGUUUCAUAUGGGAGCGGCCUCACAUAAUAGACUAUAGAGCUAUUUUUAAUCUUAAUCUUGAACUACUACAACAGUGCACACAAAAAUGAUAAAUCUGUCACAGGUCAUAAAAAACAGCGCACAGUAUAGUACUAUAACUAUACUAUCGUUAAACCAGUUCAAACUCGUUCCACAAAAAAUAAUUUUAAAUCUGGCUUUAAACUUUAACCAAA